ACAAGAAUUCGCAUUUAUAAAUAAAUACGACUCAUCAUUGUAUGAGUUGAUACGAAUUGAAAUAACCACGUGUUUCCGCUAUGGUAGCAGUAAACAAACAACAUGAUGGUGAUCCGAAAUCUGAACGUCAAUUUUCAUGAUUAUUUCACGACGAAGAUCAUCACAUCAAUGAAUCAAAUAAUACGGACAUCCUUUGGUAUUAGCAGGUGAGAAUACGUGUAUAUUGACUGAAUAGUUUAAGUUUAAAACGCAAUUAGUUCACGUUCAAAAGAAAACUAAAUGUAGACAUGUACAUGUACUAGAUCUUCAUAUUUCAGUGUGCGUAUUUCGUAUUGUUCAGCCAAUUUUGUGUUGCUUUUGAACUUUGAUGCUUUUAACAAACACUCGUAAGUUCAAAGUAAAAUCAAAGUUGCCAUAAUAUUAAAUAGAUAGUUGUUUUCAGUAUGUGUGUACCAGUGUGUACAUAUACCACUUUCACUUUGAAUUUUUAGGGUGCUGGCAACAUAUGGAACAAUACUUUCAUCUGUGAAUACCCACUUGCUAAGCCCACCAUGAUCUACGAAUGCCAAUUAAUAUGUAAGGACACCAAUGAACAGACACUUUCCAAUUAUCGUACAUCAUAUAUAUGGGUGGUCAAACUCACUGGAUGGUUUAUCAACACUCCCAUGCUCACGAACAGCCUUGCCCCAGGAAUUUUGCCCUGAAGUAACAUUGCAGUCUAUUGUCUCCCUUCUUUUUACAACCCUGGCAGCCAUGCAGGAUAGAAGCUGAUCACUUGAACUUGAAAGUAAAUUAUAAUGUCUUGGACAAGUCAAAGAAUUUCCUCCAGUCUUACAGAGAAGUAACAGUUGAUAAGAGAAUGGUGGGCACAAAGUAAAAGUGCUCUUCAACAUUUUGUUGAAGAUUUCAGUCUGAUUUGGAAUUCAUCUUGCAAUAUAUCUGGAUUUGUAUAUUUGGAUAUAAGCAUCAAAUUUUCAACUUAUUGACUAAACAGUUUUGGGCUAAAUAUUGCCAAUGUUAUUUAUUAUUAUCAUUUCCUUCCAAGAUAACAUGUCAAGUCUUUAUUGUACCCCUUAAGCUCUGUUAUACCAGAAAAAUCUUGUAAUGAAAUCAUUUAGUUUUUUUUCUUGUUAGAUUAAAUCCAUGAAAAUAAAGAUUAUUUUUAAUGGCAUCAAGAGAAUGGAUUUCUUGUUUAACAAAAAGAUUGUAUACAUGUUUUGCUAGGGGUUUGUAAGAA
Saccostrea cuccullata (small rock oyster) is the source of this 1237-nucleotide long non-coding RNA. RefSeq lists it as uncharacterized. The record is from RefSeq and is a predicted model, not a curated record. Lineage: Eukaryota; Metazoa; Mollusca; Bivalvia; Ostreida; Ostreidae. The transcript has 3 exons.